This 792-nucleotide long non-coding RNA is filed under the name Triticum aestivum (bread wheat). Its description in RNAcentral is "long non-coding RNA (TAES_LNC007777)". The record is from RNAcentral. Lineage: Eukaryota; Viridiplantae; Streptophyta; Magnoliopsida; Poales; Poaceae.
GGGGCUGUGGUCCGCCUGUCCGGCAGUGGAGAGCGGAGACGUGGAGUCCAGGCAACUCCUCGUAAUUUUUUGCAUCUCAAUUUUUUCCCUUGUCUAUUUUCUGCUUAUGAUGAAUUGAUGCGAGCAGUGUGGAGCAGCGUUGGAUUUCUUCUAUUUGCUCCAAGAGACCAAGAACAGGAUUCGUGAAGACAAGAAUUCAGGUGUUCUCUCUCCUUUUAACUGUUCCUUUUUCAAAACUUAAAUCACUAAAGAACUAUUUGAGAUCAACCAUGUCACUAGAUAGAUUGAAUGGCUUGGCCAUGGUGCUUUAUUGAGAAAGAUACGUCGGAUAACAUUGAUCUUGACACUAUUAUUAGUGAUUUUCCAUCCAGAAAUACUCGAAGGUGUCGUUUUUCUUGAGUAUGCCAUUCACUUCUUUUUUGUGUAUUUGUCAGGUGGCUCCUGAUAUUUGCUGAUGCGCGUUUGUGGUUGGACUGGUAGAGUUGGAAUUGUAGCUUCUAUCGAAUUGGAUCAAGAAUUUGAGAACAAUGUCACAUAUAUAUUUAGUUAAGAAUUAAGACAGGACUUCUAGGUUGUUGGAGCGUGUAUCCUAAUAAUCCUAUAAUCAUCUGAUAUAUCCGUGGACCGUGGUGUAUUAAGACCAUAUGUGCUAGUGAAUUUUACUUUUAUAUGAAUUUUCGUUGUACAUGAUAGAUAGGUUUGGAAGGUUUUUUUUGUCUAUUAGAUAGUAGUGUUAAGGGCCCAUUUUCUCAGUUCGCACAAGGGCCUCUCGAAUGUCAGGGCCGGCCCUGC